Molecule: ribosomal RNA, 465 nt
Filed under: uncultured bacterium
Lineage: Bacteria
Description: partial 16S ribosomal RNA
Rfam family: Bacterial small subunit ribosomal RNA
Source: RNAcentral
GACGAACGCUGGCGGCGUGCUUAACACAUACAAGUCGAACGGAAAGGCCCUGCUUGCAGGGUACUCGAGUGGCGAACGGGUGAGUAACACGUGGGUGAUCUGCCCUGCACUUCGGGAUAAGCCUGGGAAACUGGGUCUAAUACCGGAUAGGAGCCAUUUUUAGUGUGAUGGUUGGAAAGUUUUUUCGGUGUAGGAUGAGCUCGCGGCCUAUCAGCUUGUUGGUGGGGUAAUGGCCUACCAAGGCGGCGACGGGUAGCCGGCCUGAGAGGGUGGACGGCCACAUUGGGACUGAGAUACGGCCCAGACUCCUACGGGAGGCAGCAGUGGGGAAUAUUGCACAAUGGGCGCAAGCCUGAUGCAGCGACGCCGCGUGGGGGAUGACGGCCUUCGGGUUGUAAACUCCUUUCGCUAGGGACGAAGCUUUUUGUGACGGUACCUAGAUAAGAAGCACCGGCUAACUACGUG